GUAGCCACCCGCUGCAGGCUGGAACUGAUUUAAGAUGGCAUUGGCAGGAAGUGCUCUCAUUCCAGCCACUCGUUGCAUAUACUGGUUGGUCAGAUUUGUCCAGGUUCUUGAUGAAGACGUUUCCCACACCAGAUUUUCUCAAAGAGGGAUCCCUCUGAGACCACAUGAUGCGGAUUGGCUUUCCCUUAAUCACAUCAAAGUUCAUGGUGUCCAAAGCCCGCUCAGCUGUAAGAGAGAAACACAUUUCAAUAAGGAGAGAAAACAUCAGCUCCCACAGGCCAACAGCCUAAGAACAGAUUACUCCAGGACUUUUCAAGUGAGGUAUUGCAUCAAAGUUAUCAAGUCAUUUAGUCUGCAAUCCACCUAUGGAGACAAGUGACAAAACCUGUAAAGCAAAUGAUCUGGAAAAAAAAAAAAAAGGUGCUAUCCCUGAAUUCAGAA
This is a long non-coding RNA of Pan troglodytes (chimpanzee), 441 nucleotides long. RefSeq lists it as uncharacterized. The transcript is spliced from 3 exons. Lineage: Eukaryota; Metazoa; Chordata; Mammalia; Primates; Hominidae. The record is from RefSeq and is a predicted model, not a curated record.